ACUACAGUGCGCGCAGCGCACUGCGCCAAGUCUAAUCGAGUUAAAAGCUUAGUUAACUGGUCUUGAAAUACCUGGUUAUGACAGAAAAAUAACUUUUAGUCAAAUCUAUGAAAUUUCAUACCACCUAAGAAAUUCAAAUGAAACAUUGAAUGUAACAACAACAAAACCAGAAACUCUAUUGGGAGAUGUAGUUCUUGCUGUUAAUCCAAAUUAUGAUCGUUUUAGUCACUUCAUUCGGCAACAAGUAAAACACCCUCUAAAAGAUGCUUAUUUAUUUACCUGUGAUAGCUGAUGCAUGUGUAAAAAUGGAUUUUGAUACAGGUACGAGCUGGUGGCAUUUGCUGCUUCUUUAGAAAAAUGUAUGUCUCCGUCGCAAUUUCCACAUUUUAGACAAGCCACAAUUGACUAAGAACAAAUAUCAAAUACAUUAAUGUAUGGCCUGUAAACUUUUCCAACCUUCGGAUCAAGAUCCUUUUGAUGUGACUUCUUUAUUUAUUAGCAUGCAUCAUUAAUAUGGUACCCAACUAGAAAAGCUUACAUCUUCGCAUUUUUCAUUGCAAAGUAACAAAGUUCCAGCCUAAAUAUUUCAGAAUCACACAGUUCAAUUAAUAAAUGCCCCAGAAAUCCAAAUAAGCAUAAAUUAAGGAAUUUGCUGAAUAAGUUACGUGUAUCCACAUCCAUAACAAACAUACAAGAUUGGAGUGAACAAAUUGGAGAGCUUAGUGGUCGAUAAAUGCCGGAGAGUCAAGCUGAAAGUUCAUUUGAAUCAGGUUUUGAUACUGUAGAAAAUACAUUUAGCAAUGUUAUCAAGAGCUGGUGGUAUUCACUGCUUUGAUUGAAAUUUAGAGUGAUGCUGUUGCUGAGAAAUUGGACAACAACAGUAGCAUACUGAGAUGCAGAUAAUACAGGUAACACUUUACGCCUGAAAUGGGUUCUCAUUUUCACGUAUGCUACAUGCGUAAUAUAAUAAGUUCUCUUUUUGGGACUCAUGGACAAUCAUGCAAAAAGAAUUUCUCCAAUCUCCAUAUUGAAUACAUCUUGUGGUUCGGCGCUACUAGAUUCAAAGGACUAAAUUCUUUUUUUCUUAUAAAACUUACUUAAUCUAUCGCCUCAGAAUGUUUAUGAUUAAUGUGAAAUAUAGUGAUAAAUAAAGAUCAAGAUAUUGUUUUCGUUUUUAUUAAUAUUUAGUAUGCAACUAAUGCUAAACUUAUCCAGACUGAUCAAAUACAGUGUUCUUCAAAAGCGAGUGGCUUUAAAAUUAACCCGAAUGCGCGCAAUUUUAUAGAACCGCCACCGAACCCGAGAAUUGCCGCUAACCUAACGUUCCUGCGUCAGCCCCGAUGAUACCGAACUCGCCGCCAUACUGUCGCGCGAGAUUCAAAAGUAUUUCUUCCGGACACUGUACAUCUAAUAUCUAAUAAUAUAUUUAAUAAUGACACGUCAAAUAAUUAAA
Molecule: long non-coding RNA, 1453 nt
Organism: Nasonia vitripennis (jewel wasp)
Lineage: Eukaryota; Metazoa; Arthropoda; Insecta; Hymenoptera; Pteromalidae
Exons: 5
Source: RefSeq, a predicted model, not a curated record